AGUGAACGCUGGCGGUAGGCCUAACACAUGCAAGUCGAACGGCAGCACAGUAAGAGCUUGCUCUUACGGGUGGCGAGUGGCGGACGGGUGAGGAAUACAUCGGAAUCUACUUUUUCGUGGGGGAUAACGUAGGGAAACUUACGCUAAUACCGCAUACGACCUACGGGUGAAAGCAGGGGAUCUUCGGACCUUGCGCGACUGAAUGAGCCGAUGUCGGAUUAGCUAGUUGGCGGGGUAAAGGCACACCAAGGCGACGAUCCGUAGCUGGUCUGAGAGGAUGAUCAGCCACACUGGAACUGAGACACGGUCCAGACUCCUACGGGAGGCAGCAGUGGGGAAUAUUGGACAAUGGGCGCAAGCCUGAUCCAGCCAUACCGCGUGGGUGAAGAAGGCCUUCGGGUUGUAAAGCCCUUUUGUUGGGAAAGAAAAGCAGCAGGUUAAUACCCCGAUGUUCUGACGGUACCCAAAGAAUAAGCACCGGCUAACUUCGUG
RNAcentral lists this ribosomal RNA (492 nucleotides) under uncultured bacterium. Its description in RNAcentral is "partial 16S ribosomal RNA". It matches the Rfam family "Bacterial small subunit ribosomal RNA", at positions 29 to 507 of the family's 1533-position model. The record is from RNAcentral.